GACGAACGCUGGCGGCGUGCUUAACACAUGCAAGUCGAACGGGCCCGCUCUCUUUUUUGGGGGUGGGUUGAGUGGCGAACGGGUGAGUAUCACGUGAGUAACCUGCCCCCUGCUCCUGGAUAACUGCUUGAAAGGGCGGCUAAUACGGGGUGUGCCGGCUGGUCCGCAUGGGCCUGGUCGGGAUAGUUUCAUCUUCGGGUGUUUCGGUGGGGGAUGGGCUCGCGGCCUAUCAGCUUGUUGGUGGGGUGAUGGCCCACCAAGGCGGUGACGGGUAGCCGGCCGGAGAGGGUGGGCGGCCACACUGGGACUGAGACACGGCCCAGACUCCUGCGGGAGGCAGCAGUGGGGGGUAUUGCACAAUGGGCGGAAGCCUGAUGCAGCGACGUCGCGUGAGGGAUGGAGGCCUUCGGGUUGUGAACCUCUUUCUCCGGUGGUGAAGGCCCUGUCCGUUGCGGCGGGGUUGACGGUAGCCGGGUAUGAAGCGCCGGCUAACUACGU
Molecule: ribosomal RNA, 498 nt
Filed under: uncultured bacterium
Lineage: Bacteria
Description: partial 16S ribosomal RNA
Rfam family: Bacterial small subunit ribosomal RNA
Source: RNAcentral